RNAcentral lists this ribosomal RNA (459 nucleotides) under uncultured bacterium. RNAcentral's name for it is "partial 16S ribosomal RNA". It matches the Rfam family "Bacterial small subunit ribosomal RNA", at positions 338 to 795 of the family's 1533-position model. The record is from RNAcentral.
CCUACGGGUGGCAGCAGUGAGGAAUAUUGGUCAAUGGGCGCGAGCCUGAACCAGCCAAGUCGCGUGCGGGAUGACGGCCCUAUGGGUUGUAAACCUCUUUUGUAUGGGGGGAAUACCCGUUACGUGUAGAGUGAUGACAGUACCCUACGAAUAAGCAUCGGCUAACUCCGUGCCAGCAGCCGCGGUAAUACGGAGGAUGCGAGCGUUAUCCGGAUUUAUUGGGUUUAAAGGGUGCGUAGGCGGCAGUAUAAGUUAGUGGUAAAAUAUUGGGGCUUAACCCCACUACGCCAUUAAUACUGUAGAGCUAGAGAACAGACGAGGUAGGCGGAAUGAGUGGAGUAGCGGUGAAAUGCAUAGAUAUAACAUAGAACACCGAUAGCGAAGGCAGCUUACCAGACUGCGACUGACGCUGAUGCACGAGAGCAUGGGGAGCGAACAGGAUUAGAUACCCCAGUAGUC